This 413-nucleotide unclassified non-coding RNA is filed under the name soil metagenome. RNAcentral describes it as "partial contains 5.8S ribosomal RNA, internal transcribed spacer 2, and large subunit ribosomal RNA". The stretch from base 1 to 120 matches the Rfam family "5.8S ribosomal RNA", at positions 35 to 154 of the family's 154-position model. The record is from RNAcentral.
GAUGAAGAACGCAGCGAAAUGCGAUAAGUAAUGUGAAUUGCAGAAUUCAGUGAAUCAUCGAAUCUUUGAACGCACCUUGCGCUCUUUGGUAUUCCGAAGAGCAUGCUUGUUUGAGUGUCAUGAAAAUAUCAACCUUGACUUGGGUUUUGUGCUCUAGUCUCGGCUUGGAAUUGGGUGCUUGCCGCUUUUACGAGCGGCUCACCUUAAAUGUAUUAGCUGGAUCUGUCUUUGAGACUUGGUUUGACUUGGCGUAAUAAGUAUUUCGCUAAGGACAUUCUUCGGAGUGGCCUCGUUUCUAGGACGCUUGUCCGCUUUCCAAUACAAGUUCCACCUCGUGGACAUGACUUUUUAUUAUCUGGCCUCAAAUCAGGUAGGACUACCCGCUGAACUUAAGCAUAUCAAUAAGCGGGGGA